RNAcentral lists this ribosomal RNA (245 nucleotides) under uncultured bacterium. Its description in RNAcentral is "partial 16S ribosomal RNA". It matches the Rfam family "Bacterial small subunit ribosomal RNA", at positions 526 to 771 of the family's 1533-position model. The record is from RNAcentral.
CAUAGGUGGCAAGCGUUGUCCGGAAUUAUUGGGCGUAAAGCGCGCGCAGGCGGCUUCUUAAGUCCAUCUUAAAAGUGCGGGGCUUAACCCCGUGAUGGGAUGGAAACUGAGAGGCUGGAGUAUCGGAGAGGAAAGUGGAAUUCCUAGUGUAGCGGUGAAAUGCGUAGAGAUUAGGAAGAACACCGGUGGCGAAGGCGACUUUCUGGACGACAACUGACGCUGAGGCGCGAAAGCGUGGGGAGCAA